GACGAACGCUGGCGGCGUGCCUAACACAUGCAAGUCGAACGGAGAUAUGAUUUCGGUUGUAUCUUAGUGGCGAACGGGUGAGUAACGCGUGAACAACCUGACUCUAAGAGGGGGAUAACACUCGGAAACGGGUGCUAAUACCGCAUAAGACCACGACCUGGCAUCAGGAUGAGGUCAAAGGAGCAAUCCGCUGAGAGAGGGGUUCGCGUCCCAUUAGAUAGAUGGCGGGGUAACGGCCCACCAUGUCAACGAUGGGUAGCCGAGCUGAGAGGCUGAUCGGCCACACUGGAACUGAGACACGGUCCAGACUCCUACGGGAGGCAGCAGUGGGGAAUAUUGGGCAAUGGGCGCAAGCCUGACCCAGCAACGCCGCGUGAGGGAAGAAGGCUUCGGGUUGUAAACCUCUGUCCUUGGUGACGAAACAAAUAGACGGUAGCCAAGGAGGAAGCCCCGGCUAACUAACGUGCCAGCAGCCGCGGUAA
This 482-nucleotide ribosomal RNA is filed under the name uncultured bacterium. RNAcentral's name for it is "bacterial SSU rRNA". It matches the Rfam family "Bacterial small subunit ribosomal RNA", at positions 28 to 523 of the family's 1533-position model. The record is from RNAcentral.